Molecule: ribosomal RNA, 404 nt
Filed under: uncultured Bifidobacterium sp.
Lineage: Bacteria; Bacillati; Actinomycetota; Actinomycetes; Bifidobacteriales; Bifidobacteriaceae
Description: bacterial SSU rRNA
Rfam family: Bacterial small subunit ribosomal RNA
Source: RNAcentral
GGGUCGCGUCCUAUCAGCUUGAUGGCGGGGUAACGGCCCACCAGGGCUUCGACGGGUAGCCGGCCUGAGAGGGCGACCGGCCACAUUGGGACUGAGAUACGGCCCAGACUCCUACGGGAGGCAGCAGUGGGGAAUAUUGCACAAUGCGCGCAAGCCUGAUGCAGCGACGCCGCGUGCGGCAUGACGGCCUUCGGGUUGUAAACCGCUUUUGACUGGGAGCAAGCCCUUCGGGGUGAGUGUACCUUUCGAAUAAGCACCGGCUAACUACGUGCCAGCAGCCGCGGUAAUACGUAGGGUGCAAGCGUUAUCCGGAAUUAUUGGGCGUAAAGGGCUCGUAGGCGGUUCGUCGCGUCCGGUGUGAAAGUCCAUCGCUUAACGGUGGAUCCGCGCCGGGUACGGGCGGG